Molecule: transfer RNA, 70 nt
Filed under: Prototheca zopfii
Lineage: Eukaryota; Viridiplantae; Chlorophyta; Trebouxiophyceae; Chlorellales; Chlorellaceae
Description: tRNA-Val
Rfam family: tRNA
About the family: Transfer RNA (tRNA) molecules are approximately 80 nucleotides in length. Their secondary structure includes four short double-helical elements and three loops (D, anti-codon, and T loops).
Source: RNAcentral
GGUCUUUAGCUCAGUUGGUAGAGCAUUUGUCUUACAAACAAAAGGUCAUCGGUUCAAGCCCGGUAAGGCC